UACGGGGGGGAGCAAGCGUUGUUCGGAUUUACUGGGCGUAAAGGGCGCGUAGGCGGCCACCGCAAGUCGACUGUGAAAUCUCCGGGCUUAACCCGGAAAGGUCAGCCGAUACUGCGGGGCUAGAGUGCAGAAGGGGCAACUGGAAUUCUCGGUGUAGCGGUGGAAAUGCGUAGAUAUCGAGAGGAACACCUGCGGCGAAGGCGGGUUGCUGGGCUGACACUGACGCUGAGGCGCGAAAGCCAGGGGAGCGAACGGG
Molecule: ribosomal RNA, 256 nt
Filed under: uncultured bacterium
Lineage: Bacteria
Description: partial 16S ribosomal RNA
Rfam family: Bacterial small subunit ribosomal RNA
Source: RNAcentral